UGGGGGAUAUUGCACAAUGGGGGAAACCCUGAUGCAGCGACGCCGCGUGGAGGAAGAAGGUUUUCGGAUUGUAAACUCCUGUUGUUGAGGAAGAUAAUGACGGUACUCAACAAGGAAGUGACGGCUAACUACGUGCCAGCAGCCGCGGUAAAACGUAGGUCACAAGCGUUGUCCGGAAUUACUGGGUGUAAAGGGAGCGCAGGCGGGAAGACAAGUUGGAAGUGAAAUCCAUGGGCUCAACCCAUGAACUGCUUUCAAAACUGUUUUUCUUGAGUAGUGCAGAGGUAGGCGGAAUUCCCGGUGUAGCGGUGGAAUGCGUAGAUAUCGGGAGGAACACCAGUGGCGAAGGCGGCCUACUGGGCACCAACUGACGCUGAGGCUCGAAAGUGUGGGUAGCAAACAGGAUUAGAUACCCUGGUAGUCCACACCGUAAACGAUGAUUACUAGGUGUUGGAGGAUUGACCCCUUCAGUGCCGCAGUUAACACAAUAAGUAAUCCACCUGGGGAGUACGACCGCAAGGUUGAAACUCAAAGGAAUUGACGGGGGCCCGCACAAGCAGUGGAGUAUGUGGUUUAAUUCGACGCAACGCGAAGAACCUUACCAAGUCUUGACAUCCUGCGACGAUGCUAGAAAUAGUAUUUUCCUUCGGGACGCAGAGACAGGUGGUGCAUGGUUGUCGUCAGCUCGUGUCGUGAGAUGUUGGGUUAAGUCCCGCAACGAGCGCAACCCUUAUGGUCAGUUACUACGCAAGAGGACUCUGGCCAGACUACCGUUGACAAAACGGAGGAAGGUGGGGAUGACGUCAAAUCAUCAUGCCCUUUAUGACUUGGGCUACACACGUACUACAAUGGCGUUAAACAAAGAGAAGCAAGACCGCGAGGUGGAGCAAAACUCAGAAACAACGUCCCAGUUCGGACUGCAGGCUGCAACUCGCCUGCACGAAGUCGGAAUUGCUAGUAAUCGUGGAUCAGCAUGCCACGGUGAAUACGUUCCC
Molecule: ribosomal RNA, 995 nt
Filed under: uncultured bacterium
Lineage: Bacteria
Description: bacterial SSU rRNA
Rfam family: Bacterial small subunit ribosomal RNA
Source: RNAcentral